Molecule: non-coding RNA, 65 nt
Organism: Dipodomys ordii (Ord's kangaroo rat)
Lineage: Eukaryota; Metazoa; Chordata; Mammalia; Rodentia; Heteromyidae
Source: Rfam
GGUGGCUCAGUGGUAGAGCGCUUGCCUAGCAUGCAUGAAGCCCUGGGUUCAAUUCCUCAGUACCA